UACAGAGGGGGCGAGCGUUGUUCGGAAUUACUGGGCGUAAAGGGCGCGUAGGCGGCCCGCUAAGUCGAACGUGAAAUCCCCAGGCUCAACCUGGGAACUGCGUCCGAUACUGGCAGGCUUGAGUAUGGGAGAGGGAUGUAGAAUUCCAGGUGUAGCGGUGAAAUGCGUAGAUAUCUGGAGGAAUACCGGUGACGAAGGCGGCAUCCUGGACCAUAACUGACGCUGAGGCGCGAAAGCUAGGGGAGCAAACGGG
Molecule: ribosomal RNA, 253 nt
Filed under: uncultured bacterium
Lineage: Bacteria
Description: partial 16S ribosomal RNA
Rfam family: Bacterial small subunit ribosomal RNA
Source: RNAcentral